AGUUCGAUCCUGGCUCAGGACGAACGCUGGCGGCAUGCCUAACACAUGCAAGUCGAACGGAGUUAUUAUUCAGAAGUUCUUCGGGAUGGAAGGAUAAGAACUUAGUGGCGGACGGGUGAGUAACGCGUGGGUAACCUGCCCUUUUGUGGGGAACAACUUCGAGAAAACGGAGCUAAUACCGCAUAAUAAUAGAGGAUCGCAUGAUUCUUUAAGGAAAGAUGGCCUCUGAAGAUGCUAUCGCAAAAGGAUGGACCCGCGUCUGAUUAGCUAGUUGGAAGGGUAACGGCCUACCAAGGCAACGAUCAGUAGCCGGCCUGAGAGGGUGAACGGCCACAUUGGGACUGAGACACGGCCCAAACUCCUACGGGAGGCAGCAGUGGGGAAUCUUCCGCAAUGGGCGAAAGCCUGACGGAGCAAUGCCGCGUGAGUGAAGAAGGCCUUCGGGUUGUAAAACUCUGUCCUUAUCGAAGAGAGGUAGGUAUGUGAAUAAUGUACCUAUAGGACGGUAGAUAAGGAGGAAGCCCCGGCUAACUACGUGCCAGCAGCCGCGGUAAUACGUAGGGGGCGAGCGUUGUCCGGAAUCACUGGGCGUAAAGGGCGCGUAGGCGGUUUAAUAAGUCAGUGGUGAAAACUGAGGGCUCAACCCUCAGCCUGCCACUGAUACUGUUAGACUUGAGUAUGGAAGAGGAGAAUGGAAUUCCCAGUGUAGCGGUGAAAUGCGUAGAUAUUAGGAGGAACACCAGUGGCGAAGGCGAUUCUCUGGGCCAAGACUGACGCUGAGGCGCGAAAGCGUGGGGAGCAAACAGGAUUAGAUACCCUGGUAGUCCACGCCGUAAACGAUGGAUACUAGGUGUUAGUAGUUUCGAUGCUACUAGUGCCGGAGUAAACACAAUAAGUAUCCCGCCUGGGGAGUACGGUCGCAAGACUGAAACUCAAAGGAAUUGACGGGGGCCCGCACAAGCGGUGGAGCAUGUGGUUUAAUUCGACGCAACGCGAAGAACCUUACCAAGACUUGACAUCCUCCUGACAAGAUAUGUAAUGUAUCUCUUUUCUUCGGAGACAGGAGAGACAGGUGGUGCAUGGUUGUCGUCAGCUCGUGUCGUGAGAUGUUGGGUUAAGUCCCGCAACGAGCGCAACCCUUAUUUCUAGUUGCCAGCAGUAAGAUGGGGACUCUAGAGAGACUGCCAGUGACAAACUGGAGGAAGGUGGGGAUGACGUCAAAUCAUCAUGCCCCUUAUGUCUUGGGCUACACACGUGCUACAAUGGUCAGAACAGAGGGAAGCGAAGCCGCGAGGUGGAGCAAAUCCCAGAAAACUGAUCUCAGUUCGGAUUGCAGGCUGCAACCCGCCUGCAUGAAGUCGGAAUCGCUAGUAAUCGCGGGUCAGCAUACCGCGGUGAAUACGUUCCCGGGCCUUGUACACACCGCCCGUCACACCACGAAAGUUAGUAACACCCGAAGCCGGUGGCCUAACCCGCAAGGGAGGGAGCUGUCGAAGGUGGGACUGAUGAUUGGGGUGAAGU
This 1521-nucleotide ribosomal RNA is filed under the name uncultured bacterium. RNAcentral describes it as "16S ribosomal RNA". It matches the Rfam family "Bacterial small subunit ribosomal RNA". The record is from RNAcentral.